RNAcentral lists this ribosomal RNA (305 nucleotides) under uncultured bacterium. Its description in RNAcentral is "bacterial SSU rRNA". It matches the Rfam family "Bacterial small subunit ribosomal RNA", at positions 337 to 657 of the family's 1533-position model. The record is from RNAcentral.
GCCUACGGGGGGCAGCAGUGGGGGAUAUUGCACAAUGGGGGGAACCCUGAUGCAGCGACGCCGCGUGAGUGAAGAAGUAAUUCGUUAUGUAAAGCUCUAUCAGCAGGGAAGAAUAAAUGACGGUACCUGAGUAAGAAGCCCCGGCUAACUACGUGCCAGCAGCCGCGGUAAUACGUAGGGGGCAAGCGUUAUCCGGAUUUACUGGGUGUAAAGGGAGCGUAGACGGCGAUGCAAGCCAGAUGUGAAAGCCCGCGGCUCAACUGCGGUAGUGCAUUUGGAACUGUAUGGCUGGAGUGCAGGAGAGG